Molecule: ribosomal RNA, 484 nt
Filed under: uncultured bacterium
Lineage: Bacteria
Description: partial 16S ribosomal RNA
Rfam family: Bacterial small subunit ribosomal RNA
Source: RNAcentral
AUUGAACGCUGGCGGCAUGCCUAACACAUGCAAGUCGAGCGGCAGCAGGGGUCUUUCUCCUUGGUUGCGCGUGGGACGCGUGUGUGAUGUCUAUCAAUCUGUCUCCUAUUGUGGGGUAAAGUCCGGAGACAGCCGCUAUUAUCCCACACGCCCUCAGCGACUAAGUGCGGGAUCCUCUCACCCCUCGCUCUCUGGUGUUGCUAGGUCGGAUUAGCUAGUUGGUGGGGUAAAGGCCUACCAAGGCGACGAUCAGUAUAUGGUCUGAGAGGAUGAUCAGUCACACUGGAAAUGAGACACGGUCCAGACUCCCACGGGAGGCAGCAGUGGGGAAUAUUGGACAAUGGGCGAAAGCCUGAUCCAGCAAUGCCGCGUGUGUGAAGAAGGUCUUCGGAUUGUAAAGCACUUUAGGUUGGGAAGAAGGGCAGGGAGCUAAUACGGUGGGGGUAUGACGGUACCGGAAGAAUAAGCACCGGCUAACUACGUG